This 105-nucleotide ribosomal RNA is filed under the name uncultured bacterium. Its description in RNAcentral is "partial 16S ribosomal RNA". It matches the Rfam family "Bacterial small subunit ribosomal RNA", at positions 1379 to 1482 of the family's 1533-position model. The record is from RNAcentral.
CCUUGUACACACCGCCCGUCACACCACGAAGGUUUGUUGUACCUGAAGUCGUUGGCGCCAACCGCAAGGGGGCAGACGCCCACGGUAUGACCGAUGAUUGGGGUG